AUAAGAAACAUCAUGAAGUAAACUAGUAAAAAGCCUGCAAGGUAUAGAGCAACCACACUAUUCAAUAAACUAAGAAAUGAAAAACCAAAAAGAGAACAUGGACGGAACUCAGGCGUCUGCAGGGUUCUACUGGGGCUGGCCCAGGCGGGGGGGGCCGCAGCUUGUAUGGGCGUCGCAGGCGGAACCCUGCAGGAAGGAUUGGUCGAGCAUGGAAGGGAUGUGGAGGGAGGUGCUGCCAACACGGCUCUGGCUGCCGAAGCCUGUGGGAGGGGUCUGGGGAUGCAGUGGGAUGGGGCCGAGAUCGUGAGGCCGCUCUUGG
This 319-nucleotide long non-coding RNA is filed under the name Androctonus crassicauda. Lineage: Eukaryota; Metazoa; Arthropoda; Arachnida; Scorpiones; Buthidae. The record is from RNAcentral.